This is a long non-coding RNA of Helianthus annuus (common sunflower), 543 nucleotides long. RefSeq lists it as uncharacterized. The record is from RefSeq and is a predicted model, not a curated record. The transcript has 3 exons. Lineage: Eukaryota; Viridiplantae; Streptophyta; Magnoliopsida; Asterales; Asteraceae.
GUCGUUUAUUCUGCGACCUUAACUUUCCGUUUCCUCUUUUAAUGUGAAACUUAUUAGAAUGUCAUAAUUUCGUUACAUUUAUGUGUGUUAUGCUUUCCACUCAACACUUGUAACCUUAGUAAAUCCCCUAAUCCUAAAACGAAAAGCAUGGUUGUUUAUGUGGCAUAAUAUAGGAUUUAGUGGGCCAAUUUUGUGUCGAUUAUUGUAGCAGAAGAAAGCGUAGAUACUUUAAGCCAAACCGGUCCCUUGGUCAUUGAAAUUGGAUAUUUUUGCCAAUGGGUUCGGCAACCCAUUCACUUGGGCUUAAGCCCAUUUUAUCGACCAAACAUGUAACCGCCCAAGUUGUCAUUGGAGCACAUUAUCUAUUCCAUUGCAAACCCUAUUUCUCUCAUCAUUUGCGCACGGCAUAGCAGAUCCCUCCCCAUUCGAGAUAAUAUCUUGUGCGACCCAAAUCUUGGACGCAUUUAAUCAUUCGAUAAACAAGAACAUAAUCUACCGAGCACUCUAAGGUCGUUAGGUAGUUCGGAACAGGAACUUGCUGGC